GCCAGACUCCUACGGGAGGCAGCAGUGGGGAAUAUUGCACAAUGGGGGGAACCCUGAUGCAGCGACGCCGCGUGGGUGAAGGAGCGUUUCGGCGCGUAAAGCCCUAUCGGCAGGGAAGAAGGAGGACGGUACCUGACUAAGAAGCCCCGGCUAACUACGUGCCAGCAGCCGCGGUAAUACGUAGGGGGCAAGCGUUAUCCGGAUUUACUGGGUGUAAAGGGGGCGCAGACGGCGAUGCAAGCCAGGAGUGAAAGCCCGGGGCCCAACCCCGGGACUGCUCUUGGAACUGCGUGGCUGGAGUGCAGGAGGGGCAGGCGGAAUUCCUGGUGUAGCGGUGAAAUGCGUAGAUAUCAGGAGGAACACCGGUGGCGAAGGCGGCCUGCUGGACUGCGACUGACGUUGAGGCCCGAAAGCGUGGGGAGCAAACAGGAUUAGAUACCCGCGUA
Molecule: ribosomal RNA, 446 nt
Filed under: uncultured bacterium
Lineage: Bacteria
Description: partial 16S ribosomal RNA
Rfam family: Bacterial small subunit ribosomal RNA
Source: RNAcentral